GCAGUCGACGACCCCGAUUUAUCGGGGUAGUGGCGAACGGGUGAGUAACGCGUAAGUAAUCUGCCCCUAAAUAGGGGAUAACUCUGAGAAAUUAGAGCUAAUACCGUAUGUGGUGGUGGAGGUAAUGCUCCAUCACUAAAGCCUUUUUGGUGUUUAGGGAGGAGCUUGCGUCCGAUUAGCUAGUUGGUAGAGUAAUGGUUUACCAAGGCGAUGAUCGGUAGCUGGUUUGAGAGGACGGUCAGCCACAUUGGGACUGAGAUACGGCCCAGACUCCUACGGGAGGCAGCAGCAAGGAAUUUUGUGCAAUGGGCGAAAGCCUGACACAGCGACGUCGCGUGGGGGAUGAAUGCCUUCGGGUUGUAAACCCCUUUUCGCAGGGAAGAAAAAUGACGGUACCUGAGGAAUAAGUCUCGGCUAACUACGUGCCAGCAGCCGCGGUAAUACGUAGGAGGCGAGCGUUAUCCGGAUUUACUGGGCGUAAAGAGGGCGUAGGCGGUUUUUCAAGUCGGAUGUAAAAGUUUUCAGCUUAACUGAGAAAAGUCAUUCGAUACUGUUAAGCUAGAGGGCAGCAGAGGGAGGCGGAAUUCCCGGUGUAGUGGUGAAAUGCGUAGAUAUCGGGAGGAACACCAGUGGCGAAGGCGGCCUUCUGGGCUGUUUCUGACGCUGAAGCCCGAAAGCGUGGGGAGCAAACAGGAUUAGAUACCCUGGUAGUCCACGCCGUAAACGAUGGACAC
This 734-nucleotide ribosomal RNA is filed under the name uncultured bacterium. Its description in RNAcentral is "bacterial SSU rRNA". It matches the Rfam family "Bacterial small subunit ribosomal RNA", at positions 57 to 816 of the family's 1533-position model. The record is from RNAcentral.